ACUAGCAUAUCAAUAAGCGGAGGAAAAGAAACCAACAGGGAUUGCCCUAGUAACGGCGAGUGAAGCGGCAACAGCUCAAAUUUGAAAUCUGGCCUCGGCCCGAGUUGUAAUUUGCAGAGGAUGCUUCUGGCGCGGUGCCUUCCGAGUUCCCUGGAACGGGACGCCACAGAGGGUGAGAGCCCCGUAUGGUCGGACACCAAGCCUGUGUGAAGCUCCUUCGACGAGUCGAGUAGUUUGGGAAUGCUGCUCUAAAUGGGAGGUAAAUCUCUUCUAAAGCUAAAUACCGGCCAGAGACCGAUAGCGCACAAGUAGAGUGAUCGAAAGAUGAAAAGCACCUUGAAAAGGGGGUUAAAUAGUACGUGAAAUUGUUGAAAGGGAAGCACUUAUGACCAGACUUGGGCCGGGCGGCUCAUCAGGGGUUCUCCCCUGUGCACUCCGCCCGGCACAGGCCAGCAUCGGUUCUCGUGGGGGGAUAAGACCGUCAGGAACGUAGCACCCUCCGGGGUGUGUUAUAGCCUGGCGGACGAUACCCCCGUGGGGACCGAGGUCCGCGCUCCGCAAGGAUGCUGGCGUAAUGGUCAUCAGUGACCCGUCUUGAAACACGGACCAAGGAGUCGUCCAUUAGAGCGAGCGUUUGGGUGUAAAACCCGCACGCGUAAUGAAAGUGAACGCAGGUGAGAGCUUCGGCGCAUCAUCGACCGAUCCUGAUGUUCUCGGAAGGAUUUGAGUAAGAGUUUUAACGGACUGACCCGAAAGACAGUGAACUAUGCUUGUAUAGGGUGAAGCCAGAGGAAACUCUGGUGGAGGCUCGCAGCGGUUCUGACGUGCAAAUCGAUCGUCAAAUAUGAGCAUGGGGGCGAAAGACUAAUCGAACUGUCUAGUAGCUGGUUACCGCCGA
Molecule: ribosomal RNA, 898 nt
Filed under: Diaporthe sp. CBS 134.42
Lineage: Eukaryota; Fungi; Ascomycota; Sordariomycetes; Diaporthales; Diaporthaceae
Description: eukaryotic LSU rRNA
Rfam family: Eukaryotic large subunit ribosomal RNA
Source: RNAcentral